Molecule: ribosomal RNA, 301 nt
Filed under: uncultured bacterium
Lineage: Bacteria
Description: partial 16S ribosomal RNA
Rfam family: Bacterial small subunit ribosomal RNA
Source: RNAcentral
CAGUAGCCGCGGGAAUACGAAGGGUGCAAGCGUUACUCGGAAUUACUGGGCGUAAAGCGUGCGUAGGUGGUGGUUUAAGUCCGUUGUGAAAGCCCUGGGCUCAACCUGGGAAUUGCAGUGGAUACUGGGUCACUAGAGUGUGGUAGAGGAUAGUGGAAUUUCCGGUGUAGCAGUGAAAUGCGUAGAGAUCGGAAGGAACAUCUGUGGCGAAGGCGACUAUCUGGGCCAACACUGACACUGAGGCACGAAAGCGUGGGGAGCAAACAGGAUUAGAUACCCCUGUAGUCCCUGUCUCUCACAU